RNAcentral lists this ribosomal RNA (1116 nucleotides) under Pedobacter nanyangensis. Its description in RNAcentral is "bacterial SSU rRNA". It matches the Rfam family "Bacterial small subunit ribosomal RNA", at positions 340 to 1467 of the family's 1533-position model. The record is from RNAcentral. Lineage: Bacteria; Pseudomonadati; Bacteroidota; Sphingobacteriia; Sphingobacteriales; Sphingobacteriaceae.
UACGGGAGGCAGCAGUAAGGAAUAUUGGUCAAUGGCGCAAGCCUGAACCAGCCAUGCCGCGUGCAGGAAGACGGCCCUCUGGGUUGUAAACUGCUUUUGUACGGGAAUAAACCUUUCUUCGUGAAGGAAGCUGAAUGUACCGUAAGAAUAAGGAUCGGCUAACUCCGUGCCAGCAGCCGCGGUAAUACGGAGGAUCCAAGCGUUAUCCGGAUUUAUUGGGUUUAAAGGGUGCGUAGGCGGCCUGUUAAGUCAGGGGUGAAAGACGGUGGCUCAACCAUCGCAGUGCCCUUGAUACUGAUGGGCUUGAAUGGACUAGAGGUAGGCGGAAUGUGACAAGUAGCGGUGAAAUGCAUAGAUAUGUCACAGAACACCGAUUGCGAAGGCAGCUUACUAUGGUCCUAUUGACGCUGAGGCACGAAAGCGUGGGGAUCGAACAGGAUUAGAUACCCUGGUAGUCCACGCCCUAAACGAUGAACACUCGCUGUUGGCGAUACACGGUCAGCGGCUAAGCGAAAGCGUUAAGUGUUCCACCUGGGGAGUACGCCCGCAAGGGUGAAACUCAAAGGAAUUGACGGGGGCCCGCACAAGCGGAGGAGCAUGUGGUUUAAUUCGAUGAUACGCGAGGAACCUUACCCGGGCUUGAAAGUUAGUGAAGUAUCCAGAGAUGGAUGCGUCCUUCGGGACACGAAACUAGGUGCUGCAUGGCUGUCGUCAGCUCGUGCCGUGAGGUGUUGGGUUAAGUCCCGCAACGAGCGCAACCCCUAUGUCUAGUUGCCAGCAUGUAAUGGUGGGGACUCUAGACAGACUGCCUGUGCAAACAGAGAGGAAGGAGGGGACGACGUCAAGUCAUCAUGGCCCUUACGUCCGGGGCUACACACGUGCUACAAUGGACGGUACAGAGGGCAGCUAGACAGCAAUGUCGUGCCAAUCUCAAAAAGCCGUUCACAGUUCGGAUCGGGGUCUGCAACUCGACCCCGUGAAGUUGGAUUCGCUAGUAAUCGCGUAUCAGCAAUGACGCGGUGAAUACGUUCCCGGGCCUUGUACACACCGCCCGUCAAGCCAUGGAAGUUGGGGGUACCUAAAGUACGUAACCGCAAGGAGCGUCCCUAGGAAACC